CCUACGGGAGGCAGCAGUAGGGAAUCUUCCGCAAUGGAAGAAAGUCUGACGGAGCAACGCCGCGUGAGUGAUGAAGGCUUUCGGGUCGUAAAACUCUGUUGUUAGGGAAGAACAAGUGCUAGUUGAAUAAGCUGGCACCUUGACGGUACCUAACCAGAAAGCCACGGCUAACUUCGUGCCAGCAGCCGCGGUAAUACGUAGGUGGCAAGCGUUAUCCGGAAUUAUUGGGCGUAAAGCGCGCGCAGGUGGUUUCUUAAGUCUGAUGUGAAAGCCCACGGCUCAACCGUGGAGGGUCAUUGGAAAUUGGGAGACUUGAGUGCAGAAGAGGAAAGUGGAAUUCCAUGUGUAGCGGUGAAAUGCGUANAGAUAUGGAGGAACACCAGUGGCGAAGGCGACUUUUUGGUCUGUAACUGACCCUGAGGCGCGAAAGCGUGGGGAGCAAACAGGAUUAGAUACCCUGGUAGUCCCCGCCGUAAACGAUGAGUGCUAAGUGUUAGAGGGUUUCCGCCCUUUAGUGCUGAAGUUAACGCAUUAAGCACUCCGCCUGGGGAGUACGGCCGCAAGGCUGAAACUCAAAGGAAUUGACGG
RNAcentral lists this ribosomal RNA (588 nucleotides) under bacterium AWS2C. Its description in RNAcentral is "bacterial SSU rRNA". It matches the Rfam family "Bacterial small subunit ribosomal RNA", at positions 338 to 916 of the family's 1533-position model. The record is from RNAcentral.